AGAGGGGAACUAACCCGGCGAAAGUCGGACUAAUACCGCAUAAAACAGGGGCACCGCAGUGGUGAUAUUUGUUAAAGAGAUUCGCUGAUAGAUGGGCAUGCGUUCCAUUAGGUAGUUGGUGAGGUAACGGCUCACCAAGCCGACGAUGGAUAGGGGAACUGAGAGGUUGGUCCCCCCACACUGGUACUGAGACACGGACCAGACUCCUACGGGAGGCAGCAGUGAGGAAUAUUGGUCAAUGGGCGGGAGCCUGAACCAGCCAAGUCGCGUAGAAGGAAGAAGGAUCUAUGGUUCGUAAACUUCUUUUGCGAGGGGAAUAAAGUGCAGGACGUGUCCUGUUUUGUAUGUACCCUGAGAAUAAGGAUCGGCUAACUCCGUGCCAGCCGCCGC
This 390-nucleotide ribosomal RNA is filed under the name uncultured bacterium. Its description in RNAcentral is "bacterial SSU rRNA". It matches the Rfam family "Bacterial small subunit ribosomal RNA", at positions 135 to 518 of the family's 1533-position model. The record is from RNAcentral.